GAAAGGUCUAAGAUUAAAGAAUCCGAAGAUUUAAGUCUUGAACAGUUACGUGUUGCAGAGUCGAUUCUAAAGCAAGAAGUUAAUCAAGUCUUGGAGCCUUCAAUGGAGAUUGAAAACAAUCAAGUCAUGGAGUAAAUGAAAGUUAAAGAUCCUACUGAGUUAGAGAGCCUUUCAACUAUUGUUUAAAUUGAUUUUACCUAUCCAAAUGUUUUCAAGGAUGCAAAAGAAAGCAUGGAUACUUCCCGUCAAUUUUGUUGCUACAAUCCAGGAAGAUCGUACUGUGUGUGUUUUCUUUGUUUUGUUUGUAAUCCGUCAACACUUCAAGACUCAAAGUCGAGUUUUUUUCAACCAGGAGAGAAUAAUGCAGUAUAGGAAGUUUAGAAUUUUUUUAAGAAUUUUAAUUAUUAUGGAAUUAUGAAAUUUAAA
This 426-nucleotide unclassified non-coding RNA is filed under the name Hevea brasiliensis (rubber tree). Lineage: Eukaryota; Viridiplantae; Streptophyta; Magnoliopsida; Malpighiales; Euphorbiaceae. The record is from RNAcentral.